GGGCCCGUAGCUCAGCCAGGUAGAGCAUCGGGCUUUUAACCCGAGGGUCACGGGUUCGACUCCCGUCGGGCCCG
RNAcentral lists this transfer RNA (74 nucleotides) under Nitrososphaerota archaeon. RNAcentral describes it as "tRNA-Lys". It matches the Rfam family "tRNA". From Rfam's summary of the family: Transfer RNA (tRNA) molecules are approximately 80 nucleotides in length. Their secondary structure includes four short double-helical elements and three loops (D, anti-codon, and T loops). RNAcentral also lists the same sequence under 1 other name. The record is from RNAcentral. Lineage: Archaea; Thermoproteati; Nitrososphaerota.